GGAAGGGUGGCAGAGCGGUUGAUUGCACUCGCCUACUAAGCGAGCAAGUGUUAGAAAUAACGCUUCGUGGGUUCAAAUCCCACCUCUUUCG
RNAcentral lists this transfer RNA (91 nucleotides) under Escherichia coli. Its description in RNAcentral is "tRNA-Ser". It matches the Rfam family "tRNA". Rfam says of the family: Transfer RNA (tRNA) molecules are approximately 80 nucleotides in length. Their secondary structure includes four short double-helical elements and three loops (D, anti-codon, and T loops). The record is from RNAcentral. Lineage: Bacteria; Pseudomonadati; Pseudomonadota; Gammaproteobacteria; Enterobacterales; Enterobacteriaceae. RNAcentral also lists the same sequence under 9 other names.